This 443-nucleotide ribosomal RNA is filed under the name uncultured bacterium. RNAcentral's name for it is "partial 16S ribosomal RNA". It matches the Rfam family "Bacterial small subunit ribosomal RNA", at positions 28 to 507 of the family's 1533-position model. The record is from RNAcentral.
GAUGAACGCUGGCGGCAUGCCUAACACAUGCAAGUCGAUCGGUAAGGCUCUUCGGAGUACACGAGAGGCGGACGGCUGAGUAACGCGUAGGAACACACCCUGCAGUGAGGGAUAAGACACCGAAAGGUGUUCUAAUACCGCAUACGGUCUUCGGAUUAAAGCAUUUAUGCGCUGAAGGAGUGGCCUGCGUCAUAUUAGAUAGUUGGUGAGGUAAUGGCUCACCAAGUCGAUGAUGUGUAGCUGGUCUGAGAGGAUGAACAGCCAGACUGGAACUGAGACACGGUCCAGACUCCUACGGGAGGCAGCAGUGAGGAAUAUUUCACAAUGAGCGAAAGCGUGAUGGAGCAAUGCCGCGUGCAGGAUGAAGGCCCUCGGGUUGUAAACUGCUUUUAUAAGAGAAGAUUAUGACGGUAACUUAUGAAUAAGGGACGGCUAACUACGUG